Hevea brasiliensis (rubber tree) is the source of this 931-nucleotide long non-coding RNA. RefSeq lists it as uncharacterized. The transcript is spliced from 2 exons. The record is from RefSeq and is a predicted model, not a curated record. Lineage: Eukaryota; Viridiplantae; Streptophyta; Magnoliopsida; Malpighiales; Euphorbiaceae.
UGCGCGGUGGUUCCGGCGGUGGCUCCGGUGGGCUAUGGAGAUUAUUCAACUUCCAGAGGCUUCCUCAUAAAUUUUUGGAAUUUUUGAGACAGAUAAACUUCGGGUGAUCGAGGUCAGCUAUUUUUCUGCAUCCAGCAGCCACAAUAGUCAUCGGUGUAUUGUGAGUAAAAUAUUAAUUUUAAUUGUAAUUUCGAUAUUAUUAUAUGUUCAAGCAUGCCAAUGCAUCACUUAUAUGCAUAUAUUUAUGUAGUUAAACUCUAGGCACGAUUUAUGUUGCAUUCAUAACUGUUAAAGUGUCAUGGAUGUUGUUGUGGUAAUUUGGAGCAGUGUGCGUGUGUUGGCGUGCGUGUGAUGUGGUGGACUAUGGAUAGGACGGGUAGUCACGGCUUGAGAUCUUCGCUGGGACUCGAUCCUUCGGGGGGUAGUCACGGCUUGAGUUCUUCACUGGGACCCCCGAUUUGGUUUAUUAAGCAAAAGUCCGGCUUGAGUUCUUCGCUGGCACCAGGUUGGAUUUAAGAGAGCUGUAUAGGGGAUCAGCUCCCAUAUAUUAUGAUUGAUAUCACUUGGUGUGUGAGUGCUCCAAAUUAUCUUUUUGAUGUUAUGAUGUGAAAUUGUUGUUGAUGUUGCAUUUCACUCUACAGGGUGCAUUAGUUUUAGAUAGUUAUAGAGAUUAUGGUUAAAAUUGAUAUUUUACUCUCUGAGUCGAACGCUCACUCCUGUUCAAUAAUUUUUUUUCCAGGCCACAGGAGGAGUUAUUUUACAAAGCAACCUGUUUUCUUCCUCGCAGGUUUAAUGUCGAUUAUUUAAUUGUUUUACUAUCUUUUCUAAAUUUAAAAUCUAGAACUCCACAUGUGUUAGUAAUAGUGUGGACCUUGUUAGAAAUUGUGUUAAUUUAAAUUUUUGAGAUUAAUAAAUGAAGAUUUGUAUGGUA